GGGGGGGGGGGGGCAGUCCAAAUGCAGAGGUUUCGGGAUCCCUGACACCUGCCCUGGCCGCCCUGGGCUUGGGGAGGCGGGCUGUGAGCUCUGGUGGCCUUGGGCCUUGGGGAGAGGAAGGCAGGCAGACUCUCAGAGCGGGGAGCACCACGCCCUCUCCAAACCUCGCUGGGUGGGGAAGCACAAAGCUGCUUCUUUUCCUGCUGGGCCAUAGCUCUGCCCUCCCUGCCAGCCCCUCUCGCCUUCCCUCCCUCCCUGUCUUCCUCCUCGGCCCCAGGCCCCCACUCAGUUCUGUGUUUACAAAAGCCAGUCCUCUCCCCCUCCCUCCCGCUCACCGCCUGGUCCAGUUUCCCCAUCUGGAAGGCUCUGCUCGGAUCUCAGGGCCCGGGCCCUGCUGUCAGCCAGUCAUGACCUUCCAAAGAGAGCAAGCCUCGGCGCAGGGUCACCGAGCCCAGUCCUCAGUCUUCCCCAUCCUGCGUGCUCCGGACGCACGGAGUGCAAGGGGCUGCCCAGCCCAUCCGGAGGGGCUGCGGGAGCAGGACAUGCCAUUUCCACGAGUAGGGCUUCAUCAUGUUUCUGGGCCUUGCUCUGUCCCAAAGUGUCCCCAUCCCUGAGCCUUGGGGGCACUGGAUUGAUCAGAGCCGGGCCUCUGGCUCCUGGAGUGGGCACAGUCCCAGAGCAGGUCAGAAACUGGCCCGUUUGGACAAGCGCUGCUGGAAAUUUCUGGUGCAGAACCCAUGCAGGUGGGGAGAGGGGCUGGCUCAAGGGUGAGACUCCGCUUCACGUCCUCUGGGCUCCUGGCCUCUUCCCAGGCCUGUGGGUCCCCAUUUCCUUCCAGGUCCAACCCUUGGUAUGACCGCAGCCUCCAUCAUCUUACUCUCCUGCAGCCCCUGCCAAUGCGUCUCACCUCCCCCUCCUUCCUCUUUCUCUCCUUGGUGACAGUAGUGACAAUAACAGCCACCAUGCCCCUGCACCUGCUGGGCACCAGGCCGAUGUGGGGGCGGCUCGCCCUUUCCUCAAGCAUACCCUUCACCGUGGAGGCUGUGAACUGCACCCCCAGAAAUCCGGGAGAGGUCCCAAGUACCCACGACAAAGCCCCCAUUUCUUUGGAAUCUCAUAUUUUUACUUAAAGGAAAAUUCAUUCACGAGUCGCAUCCUCCUCCCUACCAGUCGAUGCUCUGCAGUGAAUGCUCUCCAGCCUGAGUCUCUGCUCGCCCCUCCCCGGGCCUCUGGAUCCCAACCUCGUGCUGUCGGCUGCUGGUGACGGCUCAUGGCACUGACGACGGUUAGGGUGACUACAUGACAGCACACUCAUCUGGCGGGCGGGCAGCAGAGCCAGACUCAAAGCCCGGUCUUGGCUGGUGUAGGGCAGGGCGGGGACCCAGCUGCCCAGACAAAGGCCCAUUUACCAGGGCAGGAGGACGCCAGCCGCAGGCCUGCCAGGCCCGAGGGGACCCACCCACAGCAUCACAAUGGGCAGCUUGUGCCCUGGGCAUCCGAUCCUCCCAGGCUACCCUGGGCCUGGCACCAUAGACAAGGUUAUUGCGAGUUGGGGUUUUGUUUUCUGCAACCCCGCAAGUCCUGGAGCUCCCUACCUGGAGCUUCCCCCUUGACAUCACCUGAAGCAGAACCACGUGGAGGACGCUGGGCCCAGAGGUCACUGUAAAGCAGCUCCAUGGAGCUCCCGGCCGUAUCGCCAGUGCCCAGAGGGUCAGGGACCACACAAGGGACGUGAGCAAAGCUGUCAGUGCCCGGGGACUCUGGAUGGAUGGCGCCUCACACCCGGGAAGCAGAGGGCACACGGGUUAAGCCAGCACCCUCCUUAGAGCCGGCCCGGCAGGCCCAGGCACACAUGCUGGCCCCGGGCGGCCUUGCCUCCCUCUGGCGGUCCGGCCUUGCAGGCGCGAUUCCACCCACGCAGAAGUCCUCCUCUCUACGCACCUGCGACUCGAGGCCCUGAUCUGCCCUGACCCCUCUGGGGGCUGCCGCAGCCUUGCACAGCAACCUGUGGCCGUCCCAAGACGAGUCCCAGGAGCUGGCAACCGCACCGGAAUAUUCCAAAGGCCCAGGAGACUGUCAGAAACUGUGAUGUGUGAUAAAAACCCCCAAAUGUUCCAGGACAGGAAACCGGUUCAACCAUCAGCGUUUCCCGCGCCGACGGCGGCUUCAGACCUAACCGGCUCACAGCCAUGCACCUGCGGGAGCCGUCGAUUGAUCCGACAAGGGGCUGAAACAUGUCUUGGCAAGUGGCAGUUGGCAGAGAUGUGAGCGAAAGGUGGCCAUGCAGGUGAGCCCUCUGACAUCCCCCAGCGUUCCUGCCAACCCCAGAGGUGGCAGGCUACGGAUCCCCUUGAACCAGGGUUAUCCAAGACCUUUGGGGCCAUGGGAUGGACACCCACUCAGGCCUGGCUCAGGGGACUGAGGGGACACAGGCUUUUCUGAAAUCAGGAAAGGCCCAGGCAGACCAGGACAGUUGGCCUCCCAGGCCAGGAGUGGACCCUGGGAAAGUCACUGGAGGUGACCACCUUAGUGUGGCGUUUUGAUGAAGGAGCUUGGACUCUGAGACCCCCCUUUCCUGACUGCCCUCCACCCUGCCCCACCCCAUGGCUGAGGGUGCUGUGUCGAGUCCUGGCUCCAUCCUCCUGCCCCAGGCACUGUGGGCAGUUGGAGAGGGACCCUGAGGAUACCUGGUCCCUGGUGAGCAUCGAGCCUGCCGUCCUUUGUGCUUGCUCCGAACAGCUGAUGAUUCAUCCCCACCGUGAUCUGGGCGUGUGCUCCUCGCGUCCAGCUGGAUGCUAGCGUCUCCACCACACACUCCUUAGACACUGCCCUCCUGGGGGCUGUGAGACUCCAGCAGCGCUGUGGCCUUCCUGACUGGGGACACUCUGCCCCUCCCGGCGCAGCCGCCUCUUGGAGACAGCAUGCCUUGCUGGACACAUCCCUUGUGUGCCAACUGACCAUCUAGCGUCCAUGGCCCUGUCGCCUUCCAUCUGACUCUCACACCGUGCCGGUGUUGCCCCCACCCUGAAUCAGCAACCAGAGAUGACCUCAGCUCCGAGCCGGCUGGAAUUAAAAAGCUGCCCUGCCUUUCCUGCAGAAACUCCAAUAAGGCUCCCACCUUGGGCUUCCCCUCGCUCGCUCCUGCUUCUGCCCCCUGACCCAAACCUGGUGCUCCCCUUGUGGGCCUGCACAGUGUGGCGUGUCCCCUCCUCUCGGGAAAUGUGGACGAUCAGAAAUAGAAGCCCUAGAUGGAAGGGACAUUUUCAGGUGGGGUGUUCGUGUUGACAAUGUCCUCCAGAGUCUGUGUGCGUUUAUGCUGCCACCACGGCCAGUGCUGAGCAUCCUCGGUUACGUGAAGCGUCACCAACUGGACAGGGAGGACGCAGUGUUGUGACCUGCGUCCCUCUGGCUCCUGGUAAAGUUGAACUCUGCUCCUGUGUUCCGUGGUCGCUGACAUUUACUUUCUUGGGAAUUCCCUAGUUCUAGCCUUGGCUUGUCCUUCAAAUUGUGUCACUGAGACUUUCAUUUUCAACUUGGAGAAGUUCUUUGCACCUUAAGGGGAUUGUUAUGAGUUGAUUUAUGUCCCCCAUAUUCUUAUGUUGAUGCCCUAAUGCCCAAUAUCUCAGAACGUGACCUUUUUUUGGAAAUAGAGUCCUUGCCGAUGUAAUCGUUAAGAUAGGUCCUAUGAAGAAGGGUGGGCCCCUAAUCCAAUAGGACUGUGUCCUUAUAGAAAGGCGACAUUUGGGCAAAGACACACACACAGGGAGAAGGCCAUGCGGAGAUGGAGGCAGAGACUGGGGAGUGCUUCUACAAGCCAACGAACGCCAAAGAUUGCCUGCAAAGCAUGUGAAGCCGGGAGAAACGUGGGACAGAUCCUCUCCCAGGCCCUAGAAGGGACCAGCCCUGCCCACCCCCGAUCUCGGGCUUCUGGCCUCCAGACCAAGACAGUCCACUUCUGCUGUUUCAGCCACAGUUUGUGGUCCUUUGUUACGGCAGGCCCAGCAACCGAAUACCAGGAUGAAACCCACGUCUGCAGCGCUUGCCCACACGUUCUCCGGUUCUGCCAUGUGGAGGAGGAAAGGCAUUUCCGGUCCUCUCUCCCCAGGGACCCUGAGGUUCUCAGGGCUGGCCCUGCAUGUCUCAUGUCACGGAGACACUGGGCUGCCUGCUCCACUUUCCUCCUGGAAAGGAGCCCGAGAUGACACGACACAAACAGCCCUCAGUCUCAAUCCCUCCUUCCGUGGCCCCCGCUGCGUUUGUCACCCUAGUGACUGUGGAGAGCCACCUGACGGGGACCUCCAGCUACAAGCAUUUGAUGGUCCCGUCGUUCUCAGAAGUGAAUCUUAGAUAAGAGAUGCAUAUGCCCAGUUCUAGCAAAGAGUCAAAGAUGGAGCUGCUUUUGCCACCAGGUUGGGCUGAUUCCAUGAUGCUGAACAAGGGCCUCAGAACAAGAAGUGGCCGACCCAGCACAGAUGUCUAAACUGAGAAUGGUGUGGGCACAGAGAACGGCACAGUGUGGACACAGGGUGUUCACACCAGUGCAGACCCAGGAGGCCUCAGGGCCUCGAAUGUGCUGGGUCAGAGCCAACGGGCCCAUCCACACGCAUGCCAGUGUUGACAAUGUAGCAAGAUGGACGUGGUUUCUACUCCAUGCUGUGCUGUGUGUCGCCUGCCUCUGCUCUCCUCCCCAUUCCCGCUAUGCACCAUGUUUCCUAGGGGCCAAGGGGCUGCAAGCUCAUGCCACGAGCGCCAGUGCCCAUCGGUGGCUCUGCUCUGGGAGAGCCAGAAGAAUGUAGGGGAAGGAUCCACUCUCCCCGCUUCAAGUUGGCAUCAGCAGCCACCAGGAUCAGGGCAGACGUCCCUGUCCUGCUCAAGGUGGCCCCUCAUCAGUACACCCAGGACCAAUGGCAUCUCAGCUCCAACAGCUGGAGCAGCGCAGGCUCAGCGGGGCCGAGGGCAGCUCCUGCCACCGGGAGUGCCACCUGCCUUUCCCUCCUCCAAGCCCCCAUUCUCCCUCUGCUCCCCCAGCACCCAGGGAGCCAAUUCCUGGUGCUGAAGUCCCCUCUGUGGAACACCAGCUGGAUUUCCUGACAGCACCCUGACUGUGGGCGUACUGUUCUUAGUGAAGCCACAAACCACUGAGUGAAGGAGCUCCUCCGGGCCAGGGGGAGCCAGAGCCGUGUGCCACAGGGUCAUGCCCGAGCACCACCGCCACAUCCUCCUGCAAGUACAGAUGCAAGCGCCAUGCGCCCGCAUCGCCCCUCCGGCCUCGCCCUGCAGAUCCACGUGCCCAUGCGCACCGUGGCAUAUCGCUGUGUCGCAGUGUCAUUUUCAGCAGCAAACUCCCGGAUUCAACCUAAAUAUCUGUGAUUGUUAAGAAUCGCUUUGCAAAGGAGAAGGGACUCUGGCAUUCACUAUUCGCUGAAAAAACAAAAACGCAGGAGGGCACUUGUCACUGCCACCAUCCCUGAAUAAAGGAGGUAAGAUCACAUGAGUGCCUGUUUGCUUGUCGCUGCCUGGGACACAUGCCCAUGAUGGCCAUACUCUCAUCCAGGGGGAGGGGGAAGGAGAGGAAGGAGGGCCUUGCUGAAUUGGUCCCCUGUUGUGCCUGUAGAACUUUGCAGUGUAGACCGAUACACAAAGUGUGCA
Long non-coding RNA from Equus quagga, 5649 nucleotides. RefSeq lists it as uncharacterized. NCBI's taxonomy places the organism in Eukaryota, Metazoa, Chordata, Mammalia, Perissodactyla, Equidae. The transcript is spliced from 6 exons. The record is from RefSeq and is a predicted model, not a curated record.